GCACUCCCUUCAGCAGCACAUAUACUAAAACUGGAAUGAUACAGAGAUUAGUAUGGUCCCUACACAAAGAUGACAUGCAAGUUCUUGAAACAUUCCAUAUUAUA
Small nuclear RNA from Microtus ochrogaster (prairie vole), 104 nucleotides. The record is from Ensembl. NCBI's taxonomy places the organism in Eukaryota, Metazoa, Chordata, Mammalia, Rodentia, Cricetidae.